RNAcentral lists this ribosomal RNA (1305 nucleotides) under Ogawaia glaucostegi. Its description in RNAcentral is "partial 28S ribosomal RNA". It matches the Rfam family "Eukaryotic large subunit ribosomal RNA", at positions 34 to 962 of the family's 3401-position model. Lineage: Eukaryota; Metazoa; Platyhelminthes; Trematoda; Strigeidida; Aporocotylidae. The record is from RNAcentral.
UUAAGCAUAUCACUAAGCGGAGGAAAAGAAACUAACCAGGAUUCCCUUAGUAACGGCGAGUGAACAGGGAUUAGCCCAACACUGAAGCUUGCAGUUAGUUGACUGUUAAGCAAUGUGGUGUAUAGGUCUGUUCUUUGCGUACUGCUUUAUCCCAAGUCCAAUUUCGAGUGUGGCAAAUUGAUUAGCCCAUAGAGGGUGUAAGGCCCGUGGGGAUAAAGGUCAGGUUGGACAGUAUUAGCUCGGAACAGGCCUUGGAGUCGGGUUGUUUGUGAAUGCAGCCCAAAUUUGGUGGUAAACUCCAUCUAAGGCUAAAUACUGGCACGAGUCCGAUAGCGAACAAGUACCGUGAGGGAAAGUUGAAAAGUACUUUGAAGAGAGAGUAAACAGUGCGUGAAACUGCUCAAAGGUAAACAAGUGGAGUUGAACUGGAAACUCGGGCAAUUCAGCUGGCCGGUAGUCAGUCAUAGCUUGGAAUCCGUCCAGAUUCGGACAUUCGGCUGUUGUUUUGGCAAUGGUUGGGUGAUUGCGAUGUGCCUAUCAGGUACUGCAUGUCUAAGCUUUGCUGGCUGGCUGGCCAGUGCACUUUGCUUGAGUGUUCACCACGACCGGCAUUGCUGUCUGUCUGUUCCUAUCACACUGGUCAAUUGCGGUCAUAUUGACUGUAAUUGGUUGGGUUGGCAGGUGGUUUGCUGGCUGUAGUGCUGUGCUUCGGCAUAUGCGCCGGUCAACAAACUAAAUUAGCUGAUUGGAACGGUWGUUAUUUGUGCAGUAUGCCGAUGUUUGCCAGACUGCAAUUGGCCAGUUGGCCAGGCAGCGUUAGUUUGGUUGGAGUUAUUUGCUUUGGCAAAUGCUUUGACAGCUAGCUUUGUCUGACUGAUUGCGUUGGUUGUGGUUGUUAGUCUGUGGUGUUGCGGUAGACUAUCCACUUGACCCGUCUUGAAACACGGACCAAGGAGUUUAACAUGCAUGCAAGUCAUUGGGCGUUACGAAACCCAUAGGCGCAGUGAAAGUAAAAUGCUGGCUACAAUAGUAGCACAGAUAAGGUGAGAUCUUGUUGCGCGUUUGUUUUUUGUGAACAAGCGUCAGCGCAAGCGCAUCACCGGCCCGUCGUACAACGUUUAUAGCAUACCGGCGGAGCUAGAGCAUGCAUGUUGAGACCCGAAAGAUGGUGAGCUAUGCUUGCGCAGGUUGAAGCCAGAGGAAACUCUGGUGGAGGACCGCAGCGAUUCUGACGUGCAAAUCGAUCGUCAAACGUGAGUAUAGGGGCGAAAGACUAAUCGAACCAUCUAGUAGCUGGUUCCCUCC